GUGUCAGCAGCCGCGGUAAUACGGAGGGUGCAAGCGUUAUCCGGAUUCACUGGGUUUAAAGGGUGCGUAGGCGGGUAUUUAAGUCAGUGGUGAAAUCCUAGAGCUUAACUCUAGAACUGCCAUUGAUACUAUUUAUCUUGAAUAUUGUGGAGGUAAGCGGAAUAUGUCAUGUAGCGGUGAAAUGCUUAGAUAUGACAUAGAACACCUAUUGCGAAGGCAGCUUACUACGCAUAUAUUGACGCUGAGGCGCGAAAGCGUGGGGAUCAAACAGGAUUAGAAACCCCCGUAGUCC
RNAcentral lists this ribosomal RNA (292 nucleotides) under uncultured prokaryote. Its description in RNAcentral is "partial 16S ribosomal RNA". It matches the Rfam family "Bacterial small subunit ribosomal RNA", at positions 505 to 796 of the family's 1533-position model. The record is from RNAcentral.